CCUACGGGAGGCAGCAGUGGGGAAUAUUGCACAAUGGGGGAAACCCUGAUGCAGCAACGCCGCGUGAAGGAAGACGGUUUUCGGAUUGUAAACUUCUGUUCUUAGUGAAGAAUAAUGACGGUAGCUAAGGAGCAAGCCACGGCUAACUACGGGCCAGCAGCCGCGGUAAAACGUAGGUGGCAAGCGUUGUCCGGAAUUACUGGGUGGAAAGGGAGCGCAGGCGGGAAGCCAAGUCAGCUGUGAAAACUACGGGCUUAACUUGUAGACUGCAGUUGAAACUGGUUUUCUUGAGUGAAGUAGAGGUUGGCGGAAUUCCGAGUGUAGCGGUGAAAUGCGUAGAUAUUCGGAGGAACACCGGUGGCGAAGGCGGCCAACUGGGCUUUAACUGACGCUGAGGCUCGAAAGUGUGGGGAGCAAACAGGAUUAGAUACCCCAGUAGUC
RNAcentral lists this ribosomal RNA (441 nucleotides) under uncultured bacterium. Its description in RNAcentral is "partial 16S ribosomal RNA". It matches the Rfam family "Bacterial small subunit ribosomal RNA", at positions 338 to 795 of the family's 1533-position model. The record is from RNAcentral.